AAUCAACGCUGGCGGCGUGCCUCAGACAUGCAAGUCGAACGAUUAAAGCUCUCUUCGGAGAGUGUAUAGAGUGGCGCACGGGUGAGUAACACGUAAGUAAUCUACCUUCGAGUGGGGAAUAACCCGGGGAAACCCGAGCUAAUACCGCAUAAUGCAGCGGCACCUAAUGGUGACAGUUGUUAAAGGAGUAAUUCGCUUGAAGAGGAGCUUGCGGCAGAUUAGCUAGUUGGUAAGGUAAUGGCUUACCAAGGCUACGAUCUGUAACCGGUCUAAGAGGACGGUCGGUCACACUGACACUGAAUAACGGGUCAGACUCCUACGGGAGGCAGCAGUCGGGAAUUUUGGGCAAUGGGCGAAAGCCUGACCCAGCAACGCCGCGUGAAGGAUGAAGUAUUUCGGUAUGUAAACUUCGUAAGAAUAGGAAGAAUAAAUGACGGUACUAUUUGUAAGGUCCGGCUAACUACGUGCCAG
RNAcentral lists this ribosomal RNA (471 nucleotides) under uncultured bacterium. RNAcentral describes it as "bacterial SSU rRNA". It matches the Rfam family "Bacterial small subunit ribosomal RNA", at positions 32 to 511 of the family's 1533-position model. The record is from RNAcentral.